Dreissena polymorpha is the source of this 2904-nucleotide long non-coding RNA. RefSeq lists it as uncharacterized. The transcript is spliced from 3 exons. The record is from RefSeq and is a predicted model, not a curated record. Lineage: Eukaryota; Metazoa; Mollusca; Bivalvia; Myida; Dreissenidae.
AAUUGAUGUCCUGAGGUGUGCAGUGUUAUCACCGGGGUUUAUAUUCGAUGUCGGAUUGUGUGUAUUGUUAUCACCGGCGUGUAUGAAUGAUGUCCCGUGGGGUUAGCUGUUAUCACAGAGGUGUAUAUGAUUACCGUUGCGUGUAGUGUUAACACCGGGUUGUAUAAUCGAUGUCUCAUAGUGUGUAUUGUUAUCACCAGAGUGUAUAAUUGAUGUCGUAAGGUGUGUAGUGUUAUCACCGGGGUGUAUAUUUGAUGUCGCAUUGUGUGUAUUAUUAUCACCGUCGUGUAUAAUUGAUAUCCCGAGAUGUGUGUUGUUAGCACUGGGGUGUAUAUUUGAUUACCGUGGCGUGUAGUGUUAUCACGGGGAUGUAAAAUCGAUGUCCCAUGGUUUGUAUUGUUAUCACCUGGGUGUAUAAUUGAUGUCCCAUGGGGUGUAUUGUUAUCACCGUGCUGUAUAAUUGAUGUAUCGUGGUGUGUUUUGUUAUCCCUGGCGUGAAUAAUUGAUGUCCCGUUUCGUUAGUUGUUAUCACAGGGGUGUAUAUUUGAUGUCCCGUGGUGUGUAUUGUUAUCACCAGGAUGUUUAAUUUAUAUUCCGUGAUGUGUAUUGUUAUCAUCGGGGUGUAUAAUUGAUGUCCUGUGGCGUGUGUUGUUACCACCAGGUUGUAUAAUCGAUGUACCGUGAUGUGCAUUGUUAUCACUGGGGUGUAUAAUCGAUGUCCCGUGGUGUGUAUUGUUAUCACCGGGGUGUUUAAUAGAUGUCCAGUGGUGUGUAUUGUUAUCACCUUGAUGUAUAAUCGAUGUCCCGUGGUGUGUAUUGUUAUCACCGGUGUGUAUAAUCGAUGUCCCGUGAUGUGUAUUGUUAUCACCGUGGUAUAUAAUCGAUGUCCCGUGGUGUGUAUUGUUAUCACCGGGGUGUAUAAUCGAUGCCCCGUGGUGUGUAUUGUUAUCACAUUGGUGUAUAAUCGAUGUCCCGUGGUGUGUAUUGUUAUCACUGGGAUGUAUAAUUGAUGCCCCGUGGUGUGUAUUGUUAUCACCGUGGUGUAUAAUCGAUGUCCCGUGGUGUGUAUUGUUAUCACCGUGGUGUAUAAUCGAUGUAACAUGGUGUGUAUUGUUAUCACCGGGGUGUAUAAUCGAUGCCCCGUGGUGUGUAUUGUUAUCACCGUGGUGUAUAAUCGAUGUCUCGUGGUGUGUUUUGUUAUCCCUGGCUUGAAUACUUGAUGUCCCGUUUCGUUAGUUGUUAUCACCGUGGUGUAUAAUUGAUUUUCCGUGAUGUGGAUUGUUAUCACCAGGAUGUUUAAUUGAUUUUCCGUGAUGUGUAUUGUUAUCAUCGGGGUGUAUAAUUGAUGUCCCAUGGCGUGUGUUGUUACCACCAGGUUGUAUAAUCGAUGUACCGUGAUGUGCAUUGUUAUCACUGGGGUGUAUAAUCGAUGUCCCGUGGUGUGUAUUGUUAUCACCGGGGUGUAUAAUAGAUGUCCAGUGGUGUGUAUUGUUAUCACCUUGAUGUAUAAUCGAUGUCCCGUGGUGUGUAUUGUUAUCACCGGGGUGUAUAAUCGAUGUCCCGUUGUGUGUAUUGUUAUCAACGUGGUGUAUAAUCGAUGUCCCGUGGUGUGAAUUGUUAUCAACGGGGUGUAUAAUCGAUGUCCCGUGGUGUGUAUUGUUAUCACCGUGGUGUAUAAUCGAUGUCCCGUGGUGUGUAUUGUUAUCACCGGGGUGUAUAAUCGAUGUCCCGUGGUGUGUAUUGUUAUCACCGUGGUGUAUAAUCGAUGUCCCGUGGUGUGUAUUGUUAUCACCGGGGUGUAUAAUCGAUGCCUUGUGGUGUGUAUUGUUAUCACCGUGGUGUAUAAUCGAUGUCCCUAGGUGUGUAUUGUUAUCACUGGGAUGUAUAAUUGAUGCCCCGUGGUGUGUAUUGUUAUCACCGUGGUGUAUAAUCGAUGUCCCGUGGUGUGUAUUGUUAUCAAAGUGGUGUAUAAUCGAUGUCCCAUGGUGUGUAUUGUUAUCACCGUGGUGUAUAAUCGAUUCCCCGUGGUUUAUAUUGUUAUCACCGGGGUGUAUAAUCGAUGUCCCGUGGUUUUUAUUGUUAUCACCGGGGUGUAUAAUCGAUGCCCCGUGGUUUUUAUUGUUAUCACCGGGGUGUAUAAUCGAUGCCCCGUGGUUUAUAUUCUCAUCACCGGGGUGUAUAGUCGAUGCCCCGUGGUUUGUAUUGUUAUCACCGGGCCGUAUAAUUGAUGUCCCGUGGUGUGUAUUGUUAUCACCGUGGUGAAUAAUCGAUGUCCUGUGGUGUGUAUUGUUAUCACUGUGGUGUAUAAUCGAUGUCCAGUGGUGUGUAUUGUUAACACCGUGAUGUAUAAUGUCCCGUGGUGUGUAUUUUUAUCACCGGGGUGUAUAAUCGAUGUCCCGUGGUGUGUAUUGUUAUCACCGUGGUGUAUAAUCGAUGUCCCGUGGUGUGUAUUGUUAUCACCGGGGUGUAUAAUCGAUGUCCCGUGGUAUGUAGUGUUAUCACCGGUAUUAAUAAAUACAUAUACAAAAUAAUUAGACUUUUUAAAUAAUGUCCAAAUUAAAUAGCAUGCACACAUUCCUUAAUAUUCCACAACAAAUCUUUAUAAGUAUUGUUCAUGUUUUGUAGAGAACUGGACAUGUCUUGCGACAAAUCGUGGAAGAUGAUUGAAAGACGGGUUUUGGGAUGGAUCCGUAAAUACGACCCGAAUGUAGUGCUGUUGUAUCGACCCAAGCCCACAAAGCGGGAUGUGUAUCCUCAAGUUAAGUACAUCGCUUCAAAGAGAUUCCUACCAUUUGUGGCGUCCGAGAGCGUUUUGCAAGGUUUUGUUAACGCUUGCACUACCGAGCUGCCACUGUCAGCCGUUCUACCAGCAUCAAUUAGGGAAGGUAAACAAUAUAGUAUAAA